Non-coding RNA from Gossypium raimondii (Peruvian cotton), 145 nucleotides. The record is from Rfam. Lineage: Eukaryota; Viridiplantae; Streptophyta; Magnoliopsida; Malvales; Malvaceae.
UGUUAAAAAUUUUAUCUAUUUGCGCUAUUAAAAAUUGGUAUGAUUGACGGAAUAACUAAACAGUGACAUGUGACUUGCUACGUAUAUGUCAUAUUGAUGUAUAUGGAUCAACUUUUAACAGCAUAAAUAGAUAAAAAUUUUAAUA